RNAcentral lists this ribosomal RNA (473 nucleotides) under uncultured bacterium. RNAcentral's name for it is "bacterial SSU rRNA". It matches the Rfam family "Bacterial small subunit ribosomal RNA", at positions 335 to 799 of the family's 1533-position model. The record is from RNAcentral.
ACUCCUACGGGAGGCAGCAGUGGGGAAUAUUGCACAAUGGGCGCAAGCCUGAUGCAGCCAUGCCGCGUGUAUGAAGAAGGCCUUCGGGUUGUAAAGUACUUUCAGCAGUGAGGAAGGCGGAGUCGUUAAUAGCGGCCUCGUUUGACGUUAGCUGCAGAAGAAGCACCGGCUAACUCCGUGCCAGCAGCCGCGGUAAUACGGAGGGUGCGAGCGUUAAUCGGAAUUACUGGGCGUAAAGCGCAUGCAGGUGGUUUGUUAAGUCAGAUGUGAAAGCCCGGGGCUUAACCUCGGAAUUGCAUUUGAAACUGGCAGGCUAGAGUCUUGUAGAGGGGGGUAGGAAUUUCAGGUGUAGCGGUGAAAUGCGUAGAGAUCUGAAGGAAUACCAGUGGCGAAGGCGGCCCCCUGGACAAAGACUGACGCUCAGAUGCGAAAGCGUGGGGAGCAACAGGAUUAGAUACCCUGGUAGGAUAGCG